AUGUCAGUUUCGUUAUUACAACCUUAUUUUUUUAUGUCAAAGACAAAAAGCUACGCGCAAAUUCUCAUUGGAUCUCGGUUGUUCUUAACAGUGAUGGCUAUUCAUUUAAGUCUUCGGGUAGCACCACCAGAUCUUCAACAAGGUGGAAAUUCUCGUAUUUCGUAUGUACAUGUUCCUGCGGCUCGGAUGAGUAUAGUUAUUUAUAUCGCGACAGCUAUAAACAGUUCCUUGUUCCCAUUAACAAAACAUCCCCUUUUUCUUCGCUCUUCCAGAACCGGUACAGAAAUUGGUGCUUUUUCUACUUUGUUUACGUUAGUGACUGGGGGGUUUCGGGGAAGGCCUAUGUGGGGUACCUUUCGGGUGUGGGAUGCUCGUUUAACCCAUUUCCUGAACCAUUAG
RNAcentral lists this ribosomal RNA (399 nucleotides) under Triticum aestivum (bread wheat). Its description in RNAcentral is "partial small subunit ribosomal RNA". The record is from RNAcentral. Lineage: Eukaryota; Viridiplantae; Streptophyta; Magnoliopsida; Poales; Poaceae.